RNAcentral lists this ribosomal RNA (253 nucleotides) under uncultured bacterium. RNAcentral describes it as "partial 16S ribosomal RNA". It matches the Rfam family "Bacterial small subunit ribosomal RNA", at positions 524 to 776 of the family's 1533-position model. The record is from RNAcentral. RNAcentral also lists the same sequence under 1 other name.
UACGGAGGGUGCAAGCGUUAUCCGGAUUUACUGGGUUUAAAGGGUGCGUAGGUGGGUGAAUAAGUCAGCGGUGAAAUCUCCGGGCUUAACUCGGAAACUGCCAUUGAUACUAUUCGUCUUGAAUAUCCUGGAGGUGAGCGGAAUAUGUCAUGUAGCGGUGAAAUGCUUAGAUAUGACAUAGAACACCUAUUGCGAAGGCAGCUCACUACGGGAUUAUUGACACUGAGGCACGAAAGCGUGGGGAUCAAACAGG